RNAcentral lists this ribosomal RNA (678 nucleotides) under uncultured Fusobacterium sp. RNAcentral describes it as "bacterial SSU rRNA". It matches the Rfam family "Bacterial small subunit ribosomal RNA", at positions 100 to 776 of the family's 1533-position model. Lineage: Bacteria; Fusobacteriati; Fusobacteriota; Fusobacteriia; Fusobacteriales; Fusobacteriaceae. The record is from RNAcentral.
AACGGAUUGAGUAAAAGCGUAAAAACCUUGCCUCACAGAUAGGGGACCACCAUUUGGAAACGGAAUGCUAAUACCCUGAUAUUAAGAUUUUAGGGGCAUCCUUAGAAUUAUGAAAACCUAUAUGCGCUGUGAGGAGAGCCUUUGCGUCCCAUUAGCUAAUUGGAGAGGGUAACGGGCUCACCAAGGCGACGAUCCGGUAGCCGGCCUGAGAGGGUGAACGGCCACAAAGGGGACUGAGACACGGCCCCUUACUCCUACGGGAGGCAGCAGUGGGAGAAUAUUGGACAAUGGCCCAAGAGUCUGAUCCAGCAAUUCUGUGUGCACGAUGAAGUUUUUCGGAAUGUAAAGUGCUUUCAGUUGGGAAGAAAAAAAUGACGGUACCAACAGAAGAAGUGACGGCUAAAUGCGUGCCAGCAGCCGCGGUAAUACGUAUGCCACAAGCGUUAUCCGGAUUUAUUGGGCGUAAAGCGCGUCUAGGUGGUUAUAUAAGUCUGAUGUGAAAAUGCAGGGCUCAACUCUGUAUUGCGUUGGAAACUGUGUAACUAGAGUACUGGAGAGGUAAGCGGAACUACAAGUGUAGAGGUGAAAUUCGUAGAUAUUUGUAGGAAUGCCGAUGGGGAAGCCAGCUUACUGGACAGAUACUGACCCUGAAGCGCGAAAGCGUGGGUAGCAAACAGG